ACGCCCACGCCGGCCGCUGAGACCGCCGGCCCGAGCCGUGGCCCUCCUGGCUACGUGCCCGUCCCGAUGCGUGCCUUCGCGGACGAGGAGGCCGUGCUCGACUUCGUCUCUGCGCCCACCGGCGCCUCCGGCGUCAUCCACCUCGGUGUAGGGAUGGAAGGUGCCGACGCCUCAGCCCCGCCGCCGCUGGACAUGGUCGCGGGAUCGGACGGCAUCGCGUUGCGACGCUUCGGCCGCCUCUUCGGGCGUGCCGUGGCCGGCCUCGACCGCCGUCCUGGUCGCCGCCCCGGCUCAUGGGCUCCGGCGAGCCUUGGUCUCGCCGCCGCCCCGCCUCAGGCUGGUCGCCGAGCUCCUGCUGCUGU
This 362-nucleotide long non-coding RNA is filed under the name Hordeum vulgare. RNAcentral describes it as "long non-coding RNA (HVUL_LNC019876)". Lineage: Eukaryota; Viridiplantae; Streptophyta; Magnoliopsida; Poales; Poaceae. The record is from RNAcentral.